RNAcentral lists this unclassified non-coding RNA (268 nucleotides) under fungal sp. RNAcentral's name for it is "partial internal transcribed spacer region". The stretch from base 1 to 46 matches the Rfam family "Eukaryotic small subunit ribosomal RNA", at positions 1786 to 1831 of the family's 1831-position model. The record is from RNAcentral. Lineage: Eukaryota; Fungi.
AAGUAGUAACAAGGUCUCCGUAGGUGAACCUGCGGAGGGAUCAUUAACACGUGUAAAAACGUAUUAUAUACCCAUUUACCAACCAAUACCGUGAACUAUGUUUGAAAACAACAUUUUUUAUUUUUCUUUGCUAUUACCGUCACUGGUUAUAGUGAAGAAUGCAACCCUUUUCCAAUCUAAAUUUCUUUUUUUCUUUGUUAUUUUAACAGUAACAACAUAAAAAAUAAAAAUAAAAGCACAACUCUUAGCAACGGAUAUCUUGGUUCUC